UUUUGGUUACGCGUGGCACAAGUCUCGUGCUGGGUGAUAAAGUUUUCCUCCUUCUGCAAAGCGAAGCAACAUUUCCCACCUCUCGGCUCCUCCCACAGAUUCCCAGAGAUUCAUCAAAGAUUGCGCAACAAACCUUGAUCUUCGGCAAAGGCGCUCUGGUCUCAGUAAAGGCUGAAGUCCUAAGACCACGGGAGGAAAUGGGUGCGCUGGAGCCUGAAACCAGGGCGAACAGGACACGUGCUCCCAGAUCUUCAGAGCUACUGGCUGCAGAUCUGGUACUGCGGGCCACUCAGGGCCCUGGCGUUCCUCCCAGGCAGCACGACCUUGGCUUCUGGUCUGAGUGAGGGGCUUGUUUCCUCUCCUGCUCAGAUUUGAAGACCGGAUAACCCCGAUGAUCACUCCAGCUCUCUGAAGCGAACACCAGCCCACCUGCUCCCUGUAAACAGUAAUAUACUGACACACCUAUAGAAUAACCGCGAUGGGGGUCCCUUUGACAGACAUGUCGAGGAGGUGGGUAUGGAAGUGGUCUUUACUCCUCUUUCUGCCCCUCUUUUUGCUCUCCCACCGUAGAGAGUGUGGUUGCCACUUUAAGGCCAUGAUUUAGUUAAAGGACCUGCCUGUCCCAUGAGAGACAACCUUCGUUCUGCUGUCUCCUGGGUUUUCACGUUACAGCCUAGUCCCUGCAAAUUAGGUGAAGCCUUACAGUUGUGGGGGUUAGGGGUGGUUCCCUGGUUCAUCAGGUAGGUUUGUAUACAUCCUGCUACCGCACUUUCAAACCAAGAAUGAAGUACACCUCCUCCCCAGAGUCCCCCAGCCAGGAUCCUUAAGUAAUCCCUUCUGGAAGUUUCCUCUGAAGGAUCAAACUCAAGCAGUUGUCUUACCCGGUGUCGCCACCCUCCUCCCCAACCUGGCUCCUCACUAAAGGAUUCCUGGGACCCCAAAAGACAUCAUUCUACUGAGGGUUCAGAUUGCAGAAGUCUUCGAAUCAGAAGUGAGGGGUUCAGAGGGAUUCAAUACCAAUGUCCAAGAAGGCCACCCUCAGCCACUAAUAAAAAAAUCACUCCAGGA
This is a long non-coding RNA of Mastomys coucha (southern multimammate mouse), 1068 nucleotides long. RefSeq lists it as uncharacterized. The record is from RefSeq and is a predicted model, not a curated record. Lineage: Eukaryota; Metazoa; Chordata; Mammalia; Rodentia; Muridae. The transcript has 2 exons.